Molecule: long non-coding RNA, 1011 nt
Organism: Musca domestica (house fly)
Lineage: Eukaryota; Metazoa; Arthropoda; Insecta; Diptera; Muscidae
Exons: 4
Source: RefSeq, a predicted model, not a curated record
UUUUUUUUUUUUUUUGGACUCGAUAGUUGAUUUCUCCGUCAAGAAGUAGUUGGUACCCGAUACCCGAAGUAUUCAUGUACCAGUUGCUAAGUUAUCGGUUAUCGAUUGUUAGUUCCUUUUAUUGGUAUUUUCUUCUAGUGGUGUGUGCGUAUUAUAGUUGUAUGUUGUUUUUCUUAAUGAAUUUGCACAAUUCAUUAAAGUGUUCGCUGGAGAAGGUUUUGAGAAUCGCUGGACAUACAAAGAUUUGGUGAUUGUCGGUAUUUGGUAUAUUGCAGAUUUCGCAUAUGUUGGAAUUUUCAGCCUUUAUUAAAUACAGGAGUGAGGUUAGUGCCAUAAAACCAGUGACGAGUUGGCGGUUCAGGAAAAAAUUGGGAGAAGUGUUGAUAAACUAAUGAAUAGCCAUCCUUUAUUGCCAGCUUACUAAUAUUUCUAGAUGUUUACAACUCAGCAAGGCAUAUCUACUAGGUAGCACAGUAAACAAAUAUGAUGUAAAAUAAAGUUUAAAUAUACAGUUUUAGUGCCAAUUUCCAAAACAAAAAUACAUUUUUUCGGUAUUUCUGGAAGUACACCUACAAGAGUUACAGUGGAAUCAACAUUCCAUUAAUGCAUUGUUUGAACAUAACGGAAGACAAAUAAAACUCGUCUUCCUAAGAUAUAGAACAUAUGAACUGCAUUUGCAUGUCGAGGAACGCCGAAAAUCAGAGAUUAUUUAUUAUUUUUAUAAAGUAUGCCAGUCGUCAUACAUAAAUAUAUUAGGUAUGAAAAUAAAUUUUAUUUGAAAAAUGACAAGGAAGGAGUUAUUUCGAGAGGACCUCUAUUUUUUUGCCUAUUAGGCUAACUGACCGAUUUUAUACGGACAUUUAUUGGGGACUUGUCUCAAACAAUUUUCUAUUUUAAUUUGCAGUGUUUUCCCAAAUUUCCUGUGCUUAAGCCGCUUCUCAGGACAGCCAUAUAAUUUUCAAAACAUCCUCAUCCUUAUUAUCCAAAACCACAAUUCUGUUUUCAUUUCGC